This 560-nucleotide ribosomal RNA is filed under the name Ramaria rasilispora. RNAcentral's name for it is "partial large subunit ribosomal RNA". It matches the Rfam family "Eukaryotic large subunit ribosomal RNA", at positions 122 to 655 of the family's 3401-position model. Lineage: Eukaryota; Fungi; Basidiomycota; Agaricomycetes; Gomphales; Gomphaceae. The record is from RNAcentral.
CUGGCGGCCUGUGGUCGUCCGAGUUGUAGUCUGGAGAAGCGUUUUCUGCGUCGGACCGUGUACAAGUCCCUUGGAACAGGGCGUCACAGAGGGUGAGAAUCCCGUCUUUGACACGGACUGCCGGUGCUUUGUGAUGCGCUCUCGAAGAGUCGAGUUGUUUGGGAAUGCAGCUCAAAACGGGUGGUAAAUUCCAUCUAAAGCUAAAUAUUGGCGAAAGACCGAUAGCGAACAAGUACCGUGAGGGAAAGAUGAAAAGCACUUUGGAAAGAGAGUUAAACAGUACGUGAAAUUGUUGAAAGGGAAACGUUUGAAGUCAGUCGCGUCUCCCGGGACUCAGCCUUGCCCUUUCCGGCCUGGUGUACUUCCCUGGGAUGACGGGCCAGCAUCGAUUUUGACCGUCGGAGAAAGGCCUUGGGAACGUGGCACCUUCGGGUGUGUUAUAGCCCUCGGUCGUAUGCGACGGUUGGGAUCGAGGACCGCAGCACGCCGUUUUGUCGGCCGGGGUUCGCCCACGUACCGUGCUUAGGAUGCUGGCGUAAUGGCUUUAAGCGACCCGUCUG